AUGACUGGGGGCGGGGGGCGGACGAGGGGCGGAGACCGAGGGCGUUUGGAGAGCUUUCUGCAGAAACUAUCCUAAGCCCAGCUGGGUUUCUCAGACCGCCCCAAAGGAUUUCUCAGAGACGCCACCCCAGCCGCUGCUUUUCCGGCCGACUUUGCUCUUCCUCUUCCCUCGCGGGGAGACCCACGUACCGCGUGCUCUGGAGGCGGACCCCCGCCCCAGCAUCCAGCCUCAUUGACUCCCGCCCACCUGCCCCCCAGAGCAGGAGCCGCCCCUGCCCCGGCUUUCUGAGGCGCAAGUCCUGAGAGGGCGCCUACGUUUAGCGCGCCUGGGCCCGUCGUGACACUUCCCGUGGAGUGGGGCGAAAGUCUGGGGAGAAUCGCCUUGCCACGGGCAAGAACCGAAUUUCUCGUUGCCUUUAUCUGCUUCCUUUCUCACAAUGUCUAGAUUUCCCCCAUGCACCCUCGAGCACCAGCCCUCAGAGCAUGAGGAGCCUCUUAAGGCUCCACAGAGCGAACUGCCCCGCGCUCAGGCCGAUGCCCAGGCCGUGGGUUCCACUUGACGGGGAUUAUUUUAAACUGUUACCAGCAAUUCACCGUCACCGGCAGCCCAGCCCGCACAGUACCUUGCCAGAGGCGAAACAGGAUCCGUGGUGGUGCAGUGGAAGGUCGGAGUUUCGAACCCACCAGCCACUUCAUAGGAGAAGGAUGUGGCAGCCUGCUUCCAUGAAGAUUACAGCCUCGGAAACUCUAUGGGGAGACUCUCCUCCAUCCUGUAGGGCUGCUAUGGGUUGGAAUCAACUUGAUGGCAACAGGCCCGUUGUUGCUGUGUCCUGCGUUGCCUUCUGCUUGGUUACAUCUGGAGCCUUGGCACCUGCUUCUCCCUCUGCUUGGAACACUCUGUCCCAGAGCGUUACUUGGCUGACUCCUUGUCAAUCAAAUCUUGGUUCAAAUGAUACUUCUUCAGAGAGGUCUUCCCUGACCACCCAUUCUAGCAUAUCAAAAAAAAAAUUUUUUUUUUUCAUUCCCUCAUCCCUAUUUUGGAAAACCCAGUGGCAUAGUAGCUAAGAGCUAUGGCUGCUAGCCAAAAAGUUGGCGGUUCAAAUCCACCAGGUGCUCCUUUGAAACUCUAUGGGGCAGUUCUACUCUGUGCCAUAGGGUCGCUAUGAGUCGGAAUCGACUCAACGGCAAUGGGUUUGGGUUUUUGUUUUUGUUUUUUUUUCCUUAUCCCUGAGUUAAAAAACUAUCUUGCCCAUUCACCUGUUACUUGUUUAUCAUUUGUCUCCCCACCAGACUCUGUGUCACUCAUCUCAAGAGCAGAGACCCUGGGCUGGUUCACAGCUGUAUCCCCAGCUCCUAGAACAGUGCCUUGUCCAAGCUGAAUAACUCUUGGUUGAGUGAAGGAAUGAAUGAAUGACUAUUAUUGUUUAUUUAAAUAAUGUUCUCUAAAUACUGAGCUGGCAGUAUCAAUGUAUACAUAUAGUGAGGCUGGAAAUGACCAACUUGAGAAAUCCAAGCUCUUUCUAAAAAACCACUUCAGUUUUGUAAAUGGCAGGCAUACUGACAGAAAAGACCUUGGGACUGCUUUCCCCCUGUACCUACGGUGUCUGCCAGCCUCCUGGCGUUUAACAGCACUGCAGAAGCUCGACUCAUGUAGCAAGCCCCAGUGCUGGGUCAGUGAGUACCCCUAUUAUUCCUUACCUAACAGAUGCUUUGAGGCACUGGUGGUUCAGCGGUAGCAUUCUCACCUUCCAUGUGGGAGAUCCAGGUUCAAUUCCCGGCCAGCGUAUCUCAUGUGCAGCCACCACCUGUCUGUCAGUGGAGGUUUACACGUUGCUACAAUGCUGAGCAGGUUUCAUCAGAGCGUCCAGACUAGGAAGGACUAGAAAGAAAGGCUUGGUGAUCCGUUUCCGAUAGGUGGCCCAUAAAAAUCCCAUGAAUCACAACAAUCCAAUCUGCCAUGGAUCAUGGAGAUGGCGCAGAACCAGGAGGCAUUUCCUUCAGUCUCGCAUGGGGCCACCAUGAGUCACCGGUCAACUACAACAACAAUAGCAGCAAAUGCUUUAGUCAGAAACAUUCUUGGAAGCAGCUCCAGUUGUGUUUGUGUCAUAUGAUCCCUCUACACCUGUCCCUGGACAAGCAGACAAGAGGCUGCAAGGAAAGAAGAACUGUCUACCAUUGAAUCGUACACUUCAAACGGAUGAAUUGUAUGGUAUGUGAACUAUAUCAGUGAAGCUGUUACUGAUGAAGAUCAAAGACCACAGCCUUCAGUAUGGAUUGCACCUCAACAUAAAGAAAACAAAAAUCCUCACAACUGGACCAAUAAGCAAUGUCAUGAUAAACAGAAAAUAUUGAAGAUGUCAAGAAUUUCAUUUUACUUGGAUCCACAAUCAGUGCCCUUGGAAACAGCAGUCAAGACAUGUUAUCAGUAGGGAUUGGUCCCUGGAGAAGGACAUCAUGCUUGAUAAAGAAGAGGGUCAGAGAAAAAGAGGAAGAGCCUCAACAAAAUGAAUUGACACAGUGGAUGCAACAAUGGGCUCAAAUUUAGCAAUGAUUGUGAGGAUGAUGCAGGAUCAGGCAGUGUUUUGCACUGUUGUACAUAGGGUCAGUAUGAGUUGGAACUGAGUCGAUGGCUAUCACCAAAAAAAAAAAAACCCCAAAAAUCUGGGCCGUCUAA
Loxodonta africana (African savanna elephant) is the source of this 2673-nucleotide long non-coding RNA. RefSeq lists it as uncharacterized. The record is from RefSeq and is a predicted model, not a curated record. Lineage: Eukaryota; Metazoa; Chordata; Mammalia; Proboscidea; Elephantidae. The transcript has 3 exons.